Molecule: ribosomal RNA, 547 nt
Filed under: uncultured bacterium
Lineage: Bacteria
Description: bacterial SSU rRNA
Rfam family: Bacterial small subunit ribosomal RNA
Source: RNAcentral
UGGGGAAUAUUGCGCAAUGGGGGGAACCCUGACGCAGCCAUGCCGCGUGAAUGAAGAAGGCCUUAGGGUUGUAAAGUUCUUUCGGUAUUGAGGAAGGUUGAUGUGUUAAUAGCACAUCAAAUUGACGUUAAAUACAGAAGAAGCACCGGCUAACUCCGUGCCAGCAGCCGCGGUAAUACGGAGGGUGCGAGCGUUAAUCGGAAUAACUGGGCGUAAAGGGCACGCAGGCGGUUAUUUAAGUGAGGUGUGAAAGCCCCGGGCUUAACCUGGGAAUUGCAUUUCAGACUGGGUAACUAGAGUACUUUAGGGAGGGGUAGAAUUCCACGUGUAGCGGUGAAAUGCGUAGAGAUGUGGAGGAAUACCGAAGGCGAAGGCAGCCCCUUGGGAAUGUACUGACGCUCAUGUGCGAAAGCGUGGGGAGCAAACAGGAUUAGAUACCCUGGUAGUCCACGCUGUAAACGCUGUCGAUUUGGGAGUUGGGGUUUAACUCUGGCGCCCGUAGCUAACGUGAUAAAUCGACCGCCUGGGGAGUACGGCCGCAAGGUUA